AUUGAACGCUGGCGGUAUGCUUAACACAUGCAAGUCGAACGGUAGCAGCUCUUCGGAGGCUGACGAGUGGCGGACGGGUGAGUAACGCGUAGGAAUCUGCCUGUUAGUGGGGGACAACUUAGGGAAACUUAAGCUAAUACCGCAUACGCCUACGGGGAAAGGAGGGGAGUCUUCGGACCUUUCGCUAACAGAUGAGCCUGCGUAGGAUUAGCUUGUUGGUAAGGUAAGAGCUUACCAAGGCGACGAUCAGUAUCUGGUUUGAGAGGACGAUCAGACACACUGGAACUGAGACACGGUCCAGACUCCUACGGGAGGCAGCAGUGGGAAUUUUCCGCAAUGGGCGAAAGCCUGACGGAGCAAUACCGCGUGAGGGAGAAUGCCUAUGGGUUGGUAAAACCUCUUUCUAGCAGGGAAGAAGCGAAAGUGACGGUACCUGCAGAAGAAG
Molecule: ribosomal RNA, 445 nt
Filed under: uncultured bacterium
Lineage: Bacteria
Description: bacterial SSU rRNA
Rfam family: Bacterial small subunit ribosomal RNA
Source: RNAcentral